UACGUAGGGUCCGAGCGUUGUCCGGAAUUAUUGGGCGUAAAGAGCUCGUAGGCGGCUUGUUGCGUCGGUUGUGAAAGCCCGGGGCUUAACCCCGGGUCUGCAGUCGAUACGGGCAGGCUAGAGUGUGGUAGGGGAGAUCGGAAUUCCUGGUGUAGCGGUGAAAUGCGCAGAUAUCAGGAGGAACACCGGUGGCGAAGGCGGGUCUCUGGGCCGAUACUGACGCUGAGGAGCGAAAGCGUGGGGAGCGAACAGG
This 253-nucleotide ribosomal RNA is filed under the name uncultured bacterium. RNAcentral describes it as "partial 16S ribosomal RNA". It matches the Rfam family "Bacterial small subunit ribosomal RNA", at positions 524 to 776 of the family's 1533-position model. The record is from RNAcentral.